AACGAACGCUGGCGGCAUGCCUAACACAUGCAAGUCGAACGAGCUCUUCGGAGCUAGUGGCGCACGGGUGCGUAACGCGUGGGAACCUGCCCUUAGGUUCGGAAUAACACAGAGAAAUUUGUGCUAAUACCGGAUAAUGUCUUCGGACCAAAGAUUUAUCGCCUUUGGAUGGGCCCGCGUAGGAUUAGCUAGUUGGUGAGGUAAAGGCUCACCAAGGCGACGAUCCUUAGCUGGUCUUAGAGGAUGAUCAGCCACACUGGGACUGAGACACGGCCCAGACUCCUACGGGAGGCAGCAGUGGGGAAUAUUGGACAAUGGGCGCAAGCCUGAUCCAGCAAUGCCGCGUGAGUGACGAAGGCCUUAGGGUUGUAAAGCUCUUUUACCCGGGAUGAUAAUGACAGUACCGGGAGAAUAAGCCCCGGCUAACUCCGUGCCAGCAGCCGCGGUAA
RNAcentral lists this ribosomal RNA (449 nucleotides) under uncultured bacterium. Its description in RNAcentral is "partial 16S ribosomal RNA". It matches the Rfam family "Bacterial small subunit ribosomal RNA", at positions 29 to 523 of the family's 1533-position model. The record is from RNAcentral.